AUGAACGCUGGCGGCGUGGAUAAGGCAUGCAAGUCGAGUGGGUUUAGGCCCACGGCGAACGAGGUAGUAACACGUGGGAAUUUCCCCCAGAGUCGAGCAUAACUGGCCGAAAGGCCAGAUAAUUCUCGAUAGUCUCUAAGGAGUAAAGAUUUAUCGCUCUGGGAAAAGCCUGCGAGAUAUCAGCUAGUUGGUAAGGUAAUGGCUUACCAAGGCUAUGACGUCUAGGGGAGCUGAGAGGCUGACCCCCACCGAUGGGACUGAGACACGGCCCAUACACCUACGGGUGGCUGCAGUCGAGAAUCUUCCGCAAUGGGCGAAAGCCUGACGGAGCGACGCCGCGUGAUGGAUGAAGUACUUCGGUACGUAAACAUCUUUUAUCAGGGAAGAACUAAAGUGACGGUACCUGAGGAAUAAGGGGCUGCAAAACUCGU
RNAcentral lists this ribosomal RNA (431 nucleotides) under uncultured bacterium. RNAcentral describes it as "bacterial SSU rRNA". It matches the Rfam family "Bacterial small subunit ribosomal RNA", at positions 29 to 506 of the family's 1533-position model. The record is from RNAcentral.